UCACAAAGGUAGGGGAAAAAAAAAAAAAAGCAAACUCCUAUAAUUCAAGAAACUACAAGAGAAACCAUCUUAAGGCAAGAUGGUUUCUUAGCCGCAAUCUUAGCCGCAAGAGCGCUGUGUAGUGAUGCUCGGUGUUUCAAACUGUUCUUUCUCUCUCGACUCUAGUAACAUGAGAUUUAUCAAGCUGCUAAAAUGCAGAGACUUGGAAAGGUCGGCUUUCCUCCAUAUACUUUUCCAAGUCAGGCGGACAGAAUUCUUCAGCAGUACUUCAAUGAAUGAGAUGCUGGCAGAAGCCUGUACAUCCCUGAGUCUUGAAAGUCAGAUGAUGGUUGUAUGAAUCCCAUUCUGCUCUUAGGAAGAUGCUUCUAUAAGAAGAGGACAGAAAAAAGAUUCUGAAAGCAUUCCCAUGAACUUCCACAGUAAUAGAAAGUGAAUCAGGCUCAAAGAUUACAGGUUGGAGACUAUGUAACAACAAACACCAUACUCUGAGGUAAAUCAGUAGGCUAUGUUUUUAUAUUUCUUAUAGCAUCACUGUAAGACUCUAAUCCUUUGGAACAUGAAUGUUAUCCCACUAAACUGUAUCCUUGUCCUUGUUUGUUGGUGUUAUCUUGUUUGUUCAUAUCUUAUGAAUUUCUUGUAUUUCACUUUUUUGUCUUCUUUCUCUGAUAAGAAUUCCUUUCUGCUGUCAAAACGUGUUGUGUAUAAUUGAGCCUGAGUAAGUCUGUGCAGUCAACCCAUUUGGAUACUCUGGUAUGCAGCAUCACCAAAACAGUUUCCCAAACUCUCUACUCCCAUUAUUCUGGUUUCCCAGAACACUCCUCCCUCUCUCUGCCAGAUGCUAUCUCAUUCUGGGUCUGACUUGAGUAUUUAAUCAGUUCUACUUUCAGCAGCUUGCUCCCCACAGAUGUUAUUUGAUCUCAUUCCCCCCCCCCCCCCCCAACCCCCCUUCUUUUUUUCCUCCUCCCUCUUUCAGUUUUGAUCUAGUUCCAGAGUUUCAUUAUCUGAUUGAUUUGUUCUGGUAGACCUUUAAUUUCUUCAUCUUUUAAUAAGUCUUAUGAGGAUUGUUUUCUCACUUUGUAGCUUAGUGAUGUCUGCUUUUCCCAUUUAAUAUGUACAGGCUGCGAAUCACUUCUACCAGACUUUAUCUUGGUCUCCAGCACUGUUCAGUUCAUGGUUGUUAUCUGGCUUUUCCCAGUAGUUGUUUGGCUUAGACUCAAGAAUUUAAGAGUAUAAAAAUGCCUGCUAUUGACAUCAGAAGACAAUUAGCAGCUUACUUCGGAGAUUUUGACUCAAAAUUUUUAAUUUUUUUUUGUUUCCUUCUACAUAUUCCUCCUGGCUAUGGUUAAUUUUUGAGGACUGUUGUGAGAUAGACUAGAGAAGUUAUACUUACUGCAAUAAAAAUGUUUUCAGUCACCUUAUUUCCA
Molecule: long non-coding RNA, 1424 nt
Filed under: Anas platyrhynchos platyrhynchos (common mallard)
Lineage: Eukaryota; Metazoa; Chordata; Aves; Anseriformes; Anatidae
Description: lncRNA (ENSAPLG00000017948.1)
Source: RNAcentral